ACAGGGUGACAGGUGGUGCAUGGUGUCGUCAGCUCGUGUCGUGAGAUGUUGGGUUAAGUCCCGCAACGAGCGCAACCCUCGACCUUAGUUGCCAGCAUUCAGUUGGGCACUCUAAGGUGACUGCCGGCUAAAAGUCGGAGGAAGGUGGGGAUGACGUCAAAUCAUCAUGCCCCUUAUGACCUGGGCUACACACGUGCUACAAUGGGCGGUACAAAGGGUCGCGAACCCGCGAGGGGGAGCCAAUCCCAAAAAGCCGCUCUCAGUUCGGAUUGCAGGCUGCAACUCGCCUGCAUGAAGCCGGAAUCGCUAGUAAUCGCGGAUCAGCAUGCCGCGGUGAAUACGUUCCCGGGCCUU
This 354-nucleotide ribosomal RNA is filed under the name uncultured Anoxybacillus sp. Its description in RNAcentral is "bacterial SSU rRNA". It matches the Rfam family "Bacterial small subunit ribosomal RNA", at positions 1026 to 1382 of the family's 1533-position model. Lineage: Bacteria; Bacillati; Bacillota; Bacilli; Caryophanales; Anoxybacillaceae. The record is from RNAcentral.